CAACAGCUCAAAUUUGAAAUCUGGCUCUCUCAGGNUNCGAGUUGUAAUUUGUAGAAGAUGCUUUGGGUGUGGNUCCGGUCUAAGUUCCUNGGAACAGGACGUCAUAGAGGGUGAGAAUCCCGUACGUGACUGGGUGCCUUCGCUCGUGUAAAGCUCUUUCGACGAGUCGAGUUGUUUGGGAAUGCAGCUCAAAAUGGGUGGUAAAUUUCAUCUAAAGCUAAAUAUUGGCCAGAGACCGAUAGCGCACAAGUAGAGUGAUCGAAAGAUGAAAAGCACUUUGGAAAGAGAGCUAAACAGUACGUGAAAUUGUUGAAAGGGAAGCGCUUGCAACCAGACUUGCGCGCUGUUGAUCAUCCGAGCUUUUGCCCGGUGCACUCGGCAGCGCUCAGGCCAGCAUCGGUUUUGGUGGGCGGAUAAAGGCCUUGGGAAUGUAGCUCUCUUCGGGGAGUGUUAUAGCCCUCGGUGCAAUGCGCCCUACCGGGACCGAGGACCGCGCUUCGGCUAGGAUGCUGGCGUAA
RNAcentral lists this ribosomal RNA (518 nucleotides) under uncultured fungus. RNAcentral describes it as "eukaryotic LSU rRNA". It matches the Rfam family "Eukaryotic large subunit ribosomal RNA", at positions 102 to 634 of the family's 3401-position model. The record is from RNAcentral. Lineage: Eukaryota; Fungi.